This is a long non-coding RNA of Lotus japonicus, 2987 nucleotides long. RefSeq lists it as uncharacterized. The transcript has 5 exons. Lineage: Eukaryota; Viridiplantae; Streptophyta; Magnoliopsida; Fabales; Fabaceae. The record is from RefSeq and is a predicted model, not a curated record.
GCAUCUAACUGAGCUUCUGUUAAUAUAUGAGCAACUAAACGUGUUCUUUUUUUAUCCUAGGAUUCAAUUCUUCUUCUUUUUAUUCCAACAGUGCUUAAUUUUUAUCCUGUACUUAAUUUAUCGUAAGUUGGGAUUCAAUUUUUUUCUCAAGUCCUGGAACUUUUUUUUAAUGAAGUGUAGUCUAGACCGUUCUGGUUUUUGGUUAUGGUUAAUUUGGUUUCCUUUUUUACUCGGGUGUCUAAAGUUCUUCUCUUUUGUUGUUGUUUAUAUGUUUUUGCUUGAAAUGAAACAAAUGAUGCAGCAGCUGCGUUUUGAAAAGGGGAAUGCUCUUUAAGACUAUAGAUGAUUUCACGCAGAACAAUUCAUUACAAUUUUGAAUUUCAAAUUCAAAAGUUUGUGCAUCUAUCUAUAACUAUAUUCUAUCCCUAAACCCAUUUAACCAUUUUAAACAAAUAUGUUUAUCAGAAACCUCCGCAUCAACCUCUCUUGCCCAGCUACAAACGCGAAGGAAUUUUUCUUUUCCGUCCUCCUUCUCCACUCCCAACCUGAGCCAAAAUCCACGAUUUGCCUCUGAUCACUGCCUGGAAGUUCUCCUCGAAUUCUCCUACCCCUUGCACUGAAUCCUUCUUUCUUCUCUCACAAAUGUUUGAACUUUCGGUUCCACCAUCCAGAGCUCCAUCCUUCACUCUCGAGGCAAUCAUUCACUCUUGGGCUUAAUUUCAAUGUUCAGAUUAUCUUCAUUCUCCACUCUACUCUCGAUCAUGAUUUAUGGCUCAGGUAUCUUCUCCACUGCCUUCCAUCUCUAAUUUUCAUUGGCUAGGUCUGAAUCGUCCUCUUCACCUUGGCUCCGUUAUUCUGUCAAUGUUUUCUUCUCAGUUCCCUACUGAAACAAGAAUCAAGUUGUGUUUUUAUAUGGAUGGAUUGUGAUCAAUUAUUGGUUUUAUAGAUAGUCAAUUCAAACCCCUAAUACCAAUUGUGUUUUUUUAUUGCUUUAUUUCCCUUUUCUAAAAUUUGUGGCAAUUGCUAGGGAUUGAACGUGGUGCCUGAGGAUUUUGUGGCAGAGCAGCUCAAGUCUGUGCUCUCUGAUAUGCAUGUUGAUGUGUUAAGUCAAAACAAUGAGUACUACAGCUAUUAUUUCCAAUUAUUCCCCAUAUUCAGCUAUUUUGUUUCUGGACAGAAUCUUAAACCUUUUCUUAUAUGCAGGUUGUUAGAAAAAUUAUGUACAUGAAAUUUAAUAUACAAUUGCAGAAUAAAUAUUGAGAGACAACAAAUAUAACGAAAUUCUUGCUUUAUUUUCCUAGGAUUGCUUGAAGAUGACUGUCAUUUUCUCAUACUUGCUUAUUAUUUCAUUCUAUGUAUAAUUAUCAAACUCCAUGUUGUGUAAAUAAUCAUAACCCUUUUUUCCCUCAACGUUUCUUUGGUAAUUGGAAAAUUGAUUCCAGCACUGGCUGACUCGAAUUCGAAGCAAUUGAAAUUUAUUUAAGGAAGUUAAUUUUGAAGUUUCAAUUGCUAUUGUAGCUUUCUCAUGAUUUUGAUUUGAACUGAGUUUCUUAGAGCUAUUUCAGUUAUAAUGCUAAAAUUAAGUGCAUAAAAUAUUUGCUCUUCCGUCUUAUUUGAUUCUUACAAAAUUCACUCAUUGUAGAGUGCUUAUCUGGUGGUGAUAUCUAUGAAGGAUGGGGUGGUGAUUGCCUGAAUGGGGAUCAUUGAAGAUUGAGCACAAUUUGUGGUAACUUCUCCAUGCUCGCCCGGAGCUUUCUAGGGAUGACCUUGAAGCUGCCAGUUUUUUAGAAGGGUUAUGAGGAAUAAGUUGAUUGGAGAGUUGUUGAUUAUUUUGGAUAUUGGAUUCUGAGCCUCUUGGGUGUGCAGGGUUCACCAUUAUUCUGCGAGGUUUGUCUUGAACAUGCCCCUGUUAUCUGCACUUUUUGUUCUAUUAUUUCUUCUUUUUGCUUCUUGACUAAACAUCUAUACAUUAUUGGUGCAAGUAAUUGAUUUAUUUUUUCAACAGAUUAUAAGGAAGAUGAUGAAAAUUGUGUAUCAUUUCAAAACACUAUCUCAAGUUGUUUCUAUUUCAUUAUUUUAUUACUUCAAUGCUUUCCAUUAUUGGUUCUGUUUUAUACAGGUUGUGAAUGAGUCACUUGCCUGGGAAAUGUUAUGAGGUUCUCUACUCUUUUUGAAAUAGAAGAUGAUUCUGAAGAAGGCAUAGAGACACAUAGCAGAAAAUUGUAAAUAUGAAAUGAAGUAUAUCCAAUUAAAUGAAGUAGGUUUUUUUUUUCUUUUUUAAUAUUGGUUUUCUUGAUUGAGGCACUUACAUUGAAGAGUUUUUGAUUUUUCCUGACUAACCCAACUUCUCCAUCAAGUUUUCUAAGUUAAUUUUAAUUGUCGUCAUUGCCUGACUUUUUCUAGAUUGUUCUGUACAAGUUGUUGUUGUUGAUUCUCAAAAGGAUGAUAGUACGGAUAAGAUGGGUUUUAGUAUCCCCAGCUCUGCUAAUAAAUAGCAUUGACUUAUUUGAGGUCAACACUACAGGUUUUGGUUAAAAAAUGAUGGCUAGAAUUGUAUAUGGGGAAGGAGAAGGAUUAUGGAAAAGUUGUCAAGGCAUGACACUGACCAUUGAGGUUAUCCAAAGGCCUAAGUCACUUGAAUUAGGAGUUCUAUUCUUUUUUUUUUUUUGUCUUGAACAAGGUAUCCCCACAGCCGACAGCCGUGAGACUAAUCCUCGCCCCACGGUCAGCGCACUAAGCGGUAGGGGGCUGGCCAAGGAGUUUUUUCUAUUCGCAAGAGUUGAGUUUCGAACCCCCAACCACUUGCUUAAAGGACGAAGUGCUGAACCACUACACCAACCCACUUGGUUAAUUAGGAGUUCUAUUCUGAAACCACAACUGUUGAGCAGAAGUAAUAAAUUAUAAACUUUAUUUUGAAUAUUAGUUGUUUCAACGUUAAGUUCAAAUCCAUAUAAUUGAUUCUGUUUGUGGAUAUCAAGUUUGUUGUG